UUUUUAGUUUUGUCUUUGAAUUUUAGUUUUUGGUUUUUAUACAUUUUCUUAAAACGAUUUAUUAUUAGCUCAAAAACACUUUUAUAUAUUUUAAAUUUGGAUUUAUUAUCCUCCUCAUUUUUUUUCAUUUUGUUCCAGUCUUUGACAUCAAGCUGUAUUAGUAACUACUUUUAUUCGUGUCACCUUGUUGUUGUUGUUUUUUAUGUAGUUUUACUGGCAAUAAAAAAAGUUUUUUUUUAAUAGAUUUUUUUUCAAAAUGGUGUGCAUCAAUAUGAAUACGAUUUGAUCUCAACAUUGAAAUACUGCAGAGGCUACAUAUCAUUAACUGCUACUACAGCUGUAGAUGAUUUUGAAUUGUUUGAAGUAUCUGAUAAUUUUGAUAAAGAUUACAAGAUUGAAAUGUGGAAACUCAGCCACGUGACGCUUCUGAAAAUGAGUCUGAAGUAAAAGAAUCAAAUGACAAAAAAACGAAUGAUGCUGACUCUGAUGAUGAGCCACUUACAAGCAUUACUACGAGAAGAUUGAUUUGGAAAAUUAUCAUUAGGGGUAAAACAGUUAUCAUUAAUUGGGGGUAAAAAUCUAGCUGAUA
Non-coding RNA from Hydra vulgaris (swiftwater hydra), 589 nucleotides. The record is from RefSeq and is a predicted model, not a curated record. Lineage: Eukaryota; Metazoa; Cnidaria; Hydrozoa; Anthoathecata; Hydridae.